UCAAGAGUGGAGAGGAGCAGCCUGUUAGGACUGACCAGCCCUGCCACCUGGGCCAUGGUGAGGUCCCAGCCUGAGCUGUCACUGAGAGCCAUGUCUGAGUCCAUAGUGGCAAAGAUUUUGAGCCUGAUCUCAGUCACUUCUCAACUACUCAGGCUUGCUGCCAUCUUCUUCAAAAACAUGUCGUUAGAACCUCAAGCAACUGCCAUGUUUCUUACACAUUCUACAGUGAGACGGGCUGCAUAUUUGAAGGGGCGUUGAGAGUUGAGCAGAAGAAUGAAGAGUAAAUGAGAAAUGGAAUUCAAUCCGUCCUCAAGGAACUGGUGCUGAGGCAUUUCAGAAAAGACCAGACAAUUCCUAAGGAUUUGGCAGGAAGUUCCUUCCAAACUUGAACCAUGUCCCAUUUAAAGACUUCUAAUAAGAUGCUGUUCUGUGUGGCUAAUAGUGCAUCUCAGGCAAUCAGCCAUACAGGAAUACUGACCAGUACUUUGUGAGGCAUGUAUGCUAAGAUCUCCGUGGAUUGUCUUGACACCUUUUAAAAGCAACUCACGACAAAACUAAGGUACCUUGAUUUUGGCAUGCAGCUUCACGUAACAUAAUCACCAAAACAGACCAUCAGAGAGUAACUCACUUGGCACCCAUACCUCCUGCUGGGAGGUUAUGUGAACAGAUUAAGUUUGGCUUAAGUUGUAUAAAUGGAAGAAUAUUAUGUGCCACCCCCAGAUGGGUAACGCUACAACUUUUAACCUUAACAAUCUCAGAUAGCUAAAAAAAAUAAUUAAAGCUUCCAAGGAUCCCACCA
Long non-coding RNA from Mastomys coucha (southern multimammate mouse), 799 nucleotides. RefSeq lists it as uncharacterized. NCBI's taxonomy places the organism in Eukaryota, Metazoa, Chordata, Mammalia, Rodentia, Muridae. The transcript is spliced from 2 exons. The record is from RefSeq and is a predicted model, not a curated record.